UCUUCAAUAGCUCAAGGGUAGAGCGAUUGGCUGUUAACCAAGAAGUUAUAGGUUCAAAUCCUAUUUGAGGA
Molecule: transfer RNA, 71 nt
Filed under: Chromochloris zofingiensis
Lineage: Eukaryota; Viridiplantae; Chlorophyta; Chlorophyceae; Sphaeropleales; Chromochloridaceae
Description: tRNA-Asn
Rfam family: tRNA
About the family: Transfer RNA (tRNA) molecules are approximately 80 nucleotides in length. Their secondary structure includes four short double-helical elements and three loops (D, anti-codon, and T loops). Further hydrogen bonds mediate the characteristic L-shaped molecular structure. tRNAs have two regions of fundamental functional importance: the anti-codon, which is responsible for specific mRNA codon recognition, and the 3' end, to which the tRNAs corresponding amino acid is attached (by aminoacyl-tRNA synthetases). tRNAs cope with the degeneracy of the genetic code in two manners: having more than one tRNA (with a specific anti-codon) for a particular amino acid; and 'wobble' base-pairing, i.e. permitting non-standard base-pairing at the 3rd anti-codon position.
Source: RNAcentral